RNAcentral lists this long non-coding RNA (423 nucleotides) under Homo sapiens (human). RNAcentral describes it as "non-protein coding lnc-BTN1A1-1:1". Lineage: Eukaryota; Metazoa; Chordata; Mammalia; Primates; Hominidae. The record is from RNAcentral.
CGCGCGGGAGAAUGUACACCUGUUUUGGAAGGAUCUACCCCACCAGAGUGAAUAUACCAGGCCACCUGGAGGCAGGCUUUCCUGAGAGCACCUCCCGCUUCCUUUUCCUGCUGGCUUUUAACUUUUGCCCCGGGGGCCACAGCCAGCUUUCUCACUUGGUAGCAGUGGCCUCUUGUGCCUUUUUCUCCAAGAUCACCCAGGUCAGUAUGUGUGGUUACUCUCAGCUCCCUGAGGGAGUGAGCAGCCAGAGGGGCAUAGCAUACUUCUCUCCCUCCAGCUCCUUUCUCCUUGGUCCUAGGCCCUCUACUCUUCAAGCCCUUUUGCUUGCUUCAGCUCCUGCUUCUUGCUCCAUCUCCUCCCAUCUUUUCUCUCUUCUCCAAUUCAUUUCCUUGGACUCCAUUUCUGCCUUUAUACCCUUAUCUU